GCGGAUGUGCUGGAAUUGGUAGACUGGCCAGCUUGAGGUGCUGGUGUCCACUGGACGUGCGGGUUCAAGUCCCGCCAUCCGCACCA
This 86-nucleotide transfer RNA is filed under the name Oscillospiraceae bacterium. RNAcentral's name for it is "tRNA-Leu". It matches the Rfam family "tRNA". Rfam says of the family: Transfer RNA (tRNA) molecules are approximately 80 nucleotides in length. Their secondary structure includes four short double-helical elements and three loops (D, anti-codon, and T loops). Lineage: Bacteria; Bacillati; Bacillota; Clostridia; Eubacteriales; Oscillospiraceae. RNAcentral also lists the same sequence under 1 other name. The record is from RNAcentral.